Molecule: long non-coding RNA, 687 nt
Organism: Homo sapiens (human)
Lineage: Eukaryota; Metazoa; Chordata; Mammalia; Primates; Hominidae
Gene: TSPAN14-AS1
Product: TSPAN14 antisense RNA 1
Source: Ensembl
GGCGGCCGCACGGGGAGGCACUCGGCUUCGCAACCUGGGUGUGCCUGGCCUGGGUGUGCGGGAGGACCCCAGAGGACCCCAGAGGACCCCAGGAGCAGGGGUCGCGCCGAAGAGCAGAGUCCGCGGCUGGAAACCAGGCAGGGGAGCCACGGAGUAGUCACACAGGUUUUCUGCCGCCUUUCAACUGGUCUUAUUUUGCUUUCAUUUUUCACCAGCCCAUGUGGGGUGUUUAAUGUUGCACGCGAACGCAGUUUCUUCCGGGCCCGGAAGGCCCACGCACGCAACAAUGUUGUGCAAGUGACUGGAAACCACCUGAGUGUCCCUCCAUGGGGGUGGGUUGCCCAGCAUGGACCUCUACUCCUGUCACAAUGAAGUCGACUGUUUCGUCGAGGGAAGUGGCCACCGUUGAUAAAAUGAAAAGACGCCAUGCAGAAUACUGUGCACAGGAGGAAAGGUCUGCGUGCCCUAAGAGAGAGCUGCUGGCGUGCAGAGAGAAGCAGAGAUGCCGACGACGGGGAGGAAACACACUGGCGGUGGUGAGGCUCCUUCCAGCAGCCACAGCCCUGGUUCCUCUCAGUCUGUGACCCUCCCACAUCCUUCCCAUCUAUGAGAGCCUGUAAACUCCUUUUGCUUAACCUUGUUUUAGUUAAGGUUUUAAACAGUUGCCACCAGUGUGCCCUAACCACC